Molecule: ribosomal RNA, 253 nt
Filed under: uncultured bacterium
Lineage: Bacteria
Description: partial 16S ribosomal RNA
Rfam family: Bacterial small subunit ribosomal RNA
Source: RNAcentral
UACGGAGGGUGCGAGCGUUGUCCGGAAUCACUGGGCGUAAAGGGCGCGUAGGCGGCUCAUGAAGGCUGUGGUGAAAGUCCGGGGCUCAACCUCGGAUCGGCCGUGGCGACUCGUGGGCUGGAGCACUGUAGAGGCGGGUGGAAUUCCUGGUGUAGCGGUGAAAUGCGCAGAUAUCGGGAAGAACACCCGUGGCGAAGGCGGCUCUCUGGGACGGUACUGACGCUGAGACGCGAAAGCGUGGGGAGCGAACAGG